AUGGGAUUUGGACUCAAUGGAAUUUUGAUUCUGACUGUUUUGCAAGGUGUCCAUUGUGAUAUUCAGCUGGUGGAGUCUGGGGAAGACAUGAGACAGCCUGGAGGAUCCUUGAAACUCUCCUGCAAAGCUUCUGGAUUCACCUUUAGUCACUAUUUGAUGAACUGGGUUCACCAGGCUCCAGAAAAGUGGAUGGAGUGGGUCUCAGCAAUUGGUACAAGUGAUACAUACUAUGCAGACUCUGUGAAAGGCCAAUUCACCAUCUCCAGGGACAAUGGCAACAACCUGCUGCACCUGCAGAUGAAUUCCCUGAAAGCUGAGGACACAGCCAUGUAUUACUGUGCAAGAGACACAGUGAGGGAGAGGAGUGAGAGCAGACAUAAACCUCCUACUUCAGAGAGUUCUUAUGGAGAAUGA
Gracilinanus agilis (Agile Gracile Mouse Opossum) is the source of this 414-nucleotide non-coding RNA. The record is from the annotation of a RefSeq genome assembly. Lineage: Eukaryota; Metazoa; Chordata; Mammalia; Didelphimorphia; Didelphidae.